This is a non-coding RNA of Pteropus alecto (black flying fox), 119 nucleotides long. Lineage: Eukaryota; Metazoa; Chordata; Mammalia; Chiroptera; Pteropodidae. The record is from Rfam.
GUCUACAGCUAUGCCACCCUGAACAUGCCUGAUCUCGUCUGAUCGCGGAAGCAAAGCAGGGUUGGGCCUGGUUAGUACUUGGAUGGGAGACCACCUAGGAAUACCAGGUGCUGUAGGUA